This 812-nucleotide long non-coding RNA is filed under the name Amborella trichopoda. RNAcentral's name for it is "long non-coding RNA (ATRI_LNC004494)". Lineage: Eukaryota; Viridiplantae; Streptophyta; Magnoliopsida; Amborellales; Amborellaceae. The record is from RNAcentral.
AAGUUUAUACUGUAUGCACAUCUCUCUGUCUAUCUUCUCUUCCUCUCUCCCUUUAUGUGCAUAUAUAUAUAAAUACUACAAGUAUACUACAGUUGUUUACACUAAUGUAACUAUACACUUUUAUCUCUGGUUUUCCUCUAUUUAUAGCUAGACAUUUCUCUCCAGUUGAAGCACAUAACUCAUUUGGAAGGUGCUCUCUCAACUUUCACUUACAUUGUCAUAGUUGAGAGAGCAUCUUCCAAGUCACAGCCUUCCAUUAUAAAUGAUGAGUGGUGGAGAUCGAUGCUAUGUUUGUCGAACCCCGUACAAAGCGGAUUUGAUAGGUAUGUCACAAUAAGUUUGUCGUCUGAUUGCCAAAAUACAAUUAGUUCAAUCAUCUGUAAGAGUUGCAGCCUUUUCGGUCCGAUCAAGAAAAUUACGGGUCUACAUUCAUUCUUCACCUCUUAUUUCAAUUUUUUUGCUUUUUUUGCACAGGGUACUACAAAUUGGAGACACCAUUUUGCCAUUGAUGGCCAACAAUAGCUUCAUCAAGAUAACUACUUAUGGUAUAAUGUCUUUCUUCAUACGACGAUCCCUAAACCCUAAAUGACAUCUGGGCUCGCUUCCUGCAAUUUGUUUCAUGCAGGCUUUGCGUAGAAUAUGUCCCAUAAAGAAAAAAUCUGCAUGUCUACAUGCAAGUCUAAGCAAACACAAACACAUGCUUACACACAUUAUACAUGCCUCCCUCUCUAUGUGCACACAUUGCAUAUGUAGUAUCAUUAUGGGACCAAGAAAUCCAAACCCUAUAAGGAUUGGAACUAGUUUGAUCUAGG